GAUGAAGAACGUAGCGAAAUGCGAUGUAAUGUGAAUUGCAGAAUUCAGUGAAUCAUCGAAUCUUUGAACGCACAUUGCGCCCGCCAGUAUUCUGGCGGGCAUGCCUGUCUGAGCGUCAUUUCAACCCUCAUGCCCCUAGGGCGUGGUGUUGGGGAUCGGCCAAAGCCCGCGAGGGACGGCCGGCCCCUAAAUCUAGUGGCGGACCCGUCGUGGCCUCCUCUGCGAAGUAGUGAUAUUCCGCAUCGGAGAGCGAUGAGCCCCUGCCGUUAAACCCCCAACUUUCCAAGGUUGACCUCAGAUCAGGUAGGAAUACCCGCUGAACUUAAGCAUAUCAAUAAGCGGAGGA
This 346-nucleotide unclassified non-coding RNA is filed under the name soil metagenome. Its description in RNAcentral is "partial contains 5.8S ribosomal RNA, internal transcribed spacer 2, and large subunit ribosomal RNA". The stretch from base 1 to 118 matches the Rfam family "5.8S ribosomal RNA", at positions 35 to 154 of the family's 154-position model. The record is from RNAcentral.